UACGUAGGGUGCAAGCGUUAAUCGGAAUUACUGGGCGUAAAGCGUGCGCAGGCGGUUUGAUAAGCCAGAUGUGAAAUCCUCGAGUUUAACUUGGGAACUGCGUUUGGAACUGUUAGAUUAGAGUGUGUCAGAGGGGGGUGGAAUUCUGCGUGUAGCAGUGAAAUGUGUAGAGAUGCGGAGGAAUAUCGAUGGUGAAGGCAGUUCCCUGGGAUGACAUUGACGCUCAUGCACGAAAGCGUGGGGAGCAAACAGG
This 253-nucleotide ribosomal RNA is filed under the name uncultured bacterium. RNAcentral's name for it is "partial 16S ribosomal RNA". It matches the Rfam family "Bacterial small subunit ribosomal RNA", at positions 524 to 776 of the family's 1533-position model. The record is from RNAcentral.